RNAcentral lists this ribosomal RNA (877 nucleotides) under uncultured bacterium. RNAcentral's name for it is "bacterial SSU rRNA". It matches the Rfam family "Bacterial small subunit ribosomal RNA", at positions 623 to 1502 of the family's 1533-position model. The record is from RNAcentral.
UUGAAACCUGCCGUGAACUAAGAGUGGCGUUCGGGCAGAGGGAAUUCCUGGUGUAGCGUGAAAUGCGUAGAUAUCAGAGACACCAGUGCGAAGCGCUCAACUGGGCCCAUAACUGACACUCAGGGACGAAAGCUAGGGUAGCGAAAGGGAUUAGAUACCCCUGUAGUCCUAGCUGUAAACGAUGAACACUAGGCGUUGCUUGUAUCGACCCGAGCAGUGCCGUAGCCAACGCGUUAAGUGUUCCGCCUGGGGAGUACGCACGCAAGUGUGAAACUCAAAGGAAUUGACGGGGGCCCGCACAAGCGGUGGAGUAUGUGGUUUAAUUCGAUGCAACGCGAAGAACCUUACCAGGACUUGACAUCUCGAGAAGUCCUCCUAAUAGAGGAUGCGCCUUAGGGAACUCGAAGACAGGUGGUGCAUGGCUGUCGUCAGCUCGUGUCGUGAGAUGUUGGGUUAAGUCCCGCAACGAGCGCAACCCUCGUUCUUAGUUGCCAUCAUUAAGUUGGGCACUUUAGGAAGACUGCCGGUGACAAACCGGAGGAAGGUGGGGAUGACGUCAAGUCAGCAUGCCCCUUACGUUCUGGGCUACACACGUACUACAAUGGUUGGGACAAAGGGCAGCAAGCUCGCAAGAGUAAGCGAAUCUCAUCAAACCCAGCCUCAGUUCAGAUUGCAGGCUGCAACUCGCCUGCAUGAAGGAGGAAUCGCUAGUAAUCGCAGGUCAGCAUACUGCGGUGAAUUCGUUCCCGGGCCUUGUACACACCGCCCGUCACACCAUGGAAGUUGGCCACGCCCGAAGUCGUUACCCUAACCGUUUACGGAGGGGGAUGCCGAAGGCAGGGCUGGUGACUAGGGUGAAGUCGUAACAAGGUAACCA